UGCGUAGGCGGCUAUUUAAGUUCAUGGUUAAAGUUCGGGGCUCAACCCCGUGAUGCCAUGGAAACUGGGUAGCUCGAGUACAGGAGAGGUGAGUGGAAUUCCAUGUGUAGCGGUAAAAUGCGUAGAUAUAUGGAGGAACACCAGUGGCGAAGGCGGCUCACUGGCCUGUAACUGACGCUGAGGCACGAAAGCGUGGGGAGCAAAUA
RNAcentral lists this ribosomal RNA (206 nucleotides) under uncultured bacterium. RNAcentral describes it as "partial 16S ribosomal RNA". It matches the Rfam family "Bacterial small subunit ribosomal RNA", at positions 568 to 774 of the family's 1533-position model. The record is from RNAcentral.